This 460-nucleotide ribosomal RNA is filed under the name uncultured bacterium. RNAcentral describes it as "partial 16S ribosomal RNA". It matches the Rfam family "Bacterial small subunit ribosomal RNA", at positions 338 to 795 of the family's 1533-position model. The record is from RNAcentral.
CCUACGGGAGGCAGCAGUGAGGAAUAUUGGUCAAUGGACGAGAGUCUGAACCAGCCAAGUAGCGUGAAGGAUGACUGCCCUAUGGGUUGUAAACUUCUUUUAUAUGGGAAUAAAAUGUUCCACGUGUGGGAUUUUGUAUGUACCAUAUGAAUAAGGAUCGGCUAACCCCGUGCCAGCAGCCGCGGUAAUACGGAGGAUCCGAGCGUUAUCCGGAUUGAUUGGGUUUAAAGGGAGCGUAGGUGGAUUGUUAAGUCAGUUGUGAAAGUUUGCGGCUCAACCGUAAAAUUGCAGUUGAUACUGGCAGUCUUGAGUACAGUAGAGGUGGGCGGAAUUCGUGGUGUAGCGGUGAAAUGCUUAGAUAUCACGAAGAACUCCGAUUGCGAAGGCAGCUCACUGGACUGCAACUGACACUGAGGCUCGAAAGUGUGGGUAUCAAACAGGAUUAGAUACCCUAGUAGUC